UAGGGAGAACACAGAGUGGUAGGACAUGAAACAGGUGGCUGAGUUGGAUAGCCUACACUUUCUACAUUUGCCAAAGCCAAAAAUGAGUCUUCUUUCAGAAGGGCAGAAGAAAGAGAGAGAGAACAUGCAUGCCUCAGAGGUUUAUCUGAAAGAGUACAAAGACUGAGUAGAAAGAAGCUAAAGAAAAGCAGAUAUCUGGGAACUUAAAGAGGAGAUGUACAACUAGAAGGAAUAUAGAAAUAGUUGUAAGAGAGAGAUCUCAAGAGAUCAGGGUGAACAGGUGUGGAAGAAGGUACCAACAUAAUCUAUGAAAGCACCCACAAGAACAAGAGUCAAUAUUAAACAACAUUUAUGGCCAGAGAAAAUUACAAAAUUG
This 376-nucleotide long non-coding RNA is filed under the name Marmota monax (woodchuck). The record is from RNAcentral. Lineage: Eukaryota; Metazoa; Chordata; Mammalia; Rodentia; Sciuridae.